This is a long non-coding RNA of Capsicum annuum, 2916 nucleotides long. RefSeq lists it as uncharacterized. The record is from RefSeq and is a predicted model, not a curated record. NCBI's taxonomy places the organism in Eukaryota, Viridiplantae, Streptophyta, Magnoliopsida, Solanales, Solanaceae. The transcript has 3 exons.
ACAUAGCUAUUACCCAUACAUUGGAAGGCAGAGAGGUUUUCGAAUUUUUAUAGACCUUCAUCGCAAAGAAAAACAAUUCAAAGCAGUUCAAAAAAGAAAUGCUAGAAGUAGAGAAGCCAUGACAAAAUACUUUUCCACUUAAGUAUAUUGAUUUUGUCUGUUGCAAGGUUCGAACAUGUCACAUGCGCCUAAUGACCUGAAGGGUCAUUACAACAUGUUGGCUCUACCUCCAGACUUUUCCGCUGUCCAUCCGGUUUUUCAUGUCUCUAUGUUGCGGAAGUAUAUUUCGGAUCCUUCUCAUGUGCUUAGAUGGGACUUGGUCCAGUUGGACGAUCAGUUGACGUUUGUGGAGGAGCCCGUGCUUGUAUUGGCUAGUGAUGUGAGGCGACUGCGUACUAGAGAGAUUUCUGUCGUUAAGGUUCAGUGGAGGCACCGCCCAGUGGAGGAGGCCACUUGGAAGUUAGAGAGAGAGAUGCGAGCCCAGUACCCUCACCUAUUUGAGACUUCAGGUACUUGCUUAUCUUUAACUUUCGGGGAUGCAAGUUCCUUAGUAGGGGAUGUUGUAAUGACCCUUCAGGUCAUUUGCCGUGUUCUUUCUUAUUUUCACUGAUAGAGCUCCUCCAUAGCCGUCCCAAGUCAUUAAUGACUUGCUAGAACCGAUAGUGCGAUUACCUGGCGGUUCGUUUGGUUUUUAGAACCACUUUUCCAAUUUGAGUCUUCGUCGAUUCUGAAUGGUCGUCCAGCGAAAAAUUCAGUAAAAUAAUUUUGGAUGCAAAUUUCGACUAUGCCAGCAGAUAUGUAAUAUCGAUUCUAGGAUGGAUAGACCCUUGGUUUAGAUCCCACAGCACCCAAGCUCAUUUCGACCCAUUAGUCUAAAAAGUCAAAAUUAAAAUAUGAGUGUGGGACCCACAAGUGGUUUAAAUGACCUCGUAUGGAAAAUCUGAGAUCACCAAUACGUCCGGAAUGUCAAAAUUAGUGGGGUUACAUAGUUCGUUUGCGAAAAAUUGAGUCCAAAUGAGUCCGGAAGGUCAAAAACAAAUUUUGACCUUGCGGGCCCAUUUAAAACCGUAUAAAAGGGAGUUUUGGCAGAUUUUGAGCAUUCUUCACCCCUAUUAAAACCCUAGCAUCCCUAGGAGAGUGGAGACUCAAAAAAAUUGGUCUUGUGGGUUGAUUGAAAGCUUAACAACUUGUGUAAUUCACCUUUCUACUAUAAAUCCAAUGUAUGAAUUUCUCUAAUUUGAUAUUAAUUUCAUGAUUUCUUGACUCAAAACCCUAAAUCAUUGUGGGUCAAUUGUAUCCCCAAAAUUGUGUGCUUGACUCAAAUUUCUUGAGGGUUUUAACUCCCUAAAGAUAAUUAGGCUAUGAGCUUGGAAACUCCUUUCCAAGGGUGAAACCCAAUUGGGGUUUUGGUGUCCAUUUGAAACCCAUGGCACAAUGAUGCCAUAAAGGGUAUUUUCAUUCUUAUUGUAAUGUUUGGAGUGUAUUGUUGAUAGCAUUGAUCGUGGAUGGAAAAGCUUCUCGGAAAGGAAGGAAAAAGUUCGUUGAUUCGUGAGUUGCUUGGAUUCAAGAUCCAGGUCCUAGUUGCCGCUGUUGAGCUAGUUCGUGCGAGUUGACUAUUCAGAGACAGGGUGAGUUCUUGGAGAUCGAGUUGCCCUUUUUCUCCUCUAUCCUUAUUUGUCUUUUACUUUUGAGACAAAUGUACGAGCUUAUUUAAGACAUUUUAGAUUCUGAGAUUGUAAAUUCCUCUCGUCAAAUUUAGAAGCUCUUGUAUUAAUACUAUUAGGUCGUGGGAUUUGUAUUUGAAUAUCGGUUGUCCUUAGUUGUAUAAAUAUUGUUAUAUAUUGUGUUUAUGCGUAGAGUCCAUGUUGGACGUUCUUACCAAGGUAACCCAUUUCCAUAGCUCCGGGUUACGGUAACGGCUUACCUACUGGAGGAAUGUGGUAAGUGCCACAUUACUCCAAACAGGGUCGUGACCACUGGAUGUGUAGACACUGUCAGACUCUUGGUGGAACAAGAUCCUGAUUUCGAGUUUCCAGCAAACAACGCCGGGGAGACACCACUCUAUCUGGCCACGGAGUCUGGUCUUGCAACUGUUUGUCAGAAAUCUUAGAACACUGCAACAGACCAACAUACAGCGGUCCAUGUGGCCGAACGGCUUUGCAUGCGGCAAUAAUUCAGAAACAAUUGGAUUGUGCGGCAUCACUGUGGGAAUGGAACAAAUCAUUAUGCGAGGAAACUGACAAAAUGGGAUUGGAAUCCACUGCAUUAUGCUGUUAAACAAGGAUUGAGAGUAGUAGUUCGUAAAAUGCUGGGGUGGAAGACAUCGUUACCCCACACUCACACAGGCAAUGGAAAUGACUGGGCAACAUCAAUCCAGAUAGCUUGGAAAUGCUUGACAGCAAUGGCCAAAAUGCUCUUCAUGUUGCCAUAUCGAAUUAUAAAACAGGAGUAGUCACAUUCUUAUUGUUGAAUGCGUAGGAAUCUCAUAACCUUAUCGACAAGCCAGAUAAUGAUGGCAACACUCCUCUCCAUUUGCUUGCUGCCUCCGACUGGAUAAGUGUGCCUGAUAAAUUAAGAAGACAUGCGAGUACAAAGAUGUCAUUUAACAAAGAAAACCAGACUCCGGUUGACAUAUUGUCUAGCACAGAGAAAACACUGCGUGUACGUACAUACAUGUUACUUUGCUAGCGUUUGGCCGUAGAUUUUUAAGAUGUAUCUUCAAAUAUAUUUGUUUGUGACAUGAAAUUUGGCAUGUUCAAAGAUCACAACAUCAAAAACUCGAAUUUUCAAGUUUCAACUUCAAAAUCUAUGGUCAAUUUAGCUACAAUCUAUUGGUAAUUUCGCGACUACAUGUAAUUAUUCUCACUCAUAUGCAACUAAAUACAUAAAGAUUGGUAUAUAUAGUAUGUUGGUUAU